GCAAAACGCGAAGAACCUUACCAGGUCUUGACAUCCCGCUGACCGUCCUAGAGAUAGGGCUUCCCUUCGGGGCAGCGGUGACAGGUGGUGCAUGGUUGUCGUCAGCUCGUGUCGUGAGAUGUUGGGUUAAGUCCCGCAACGAGCGCAACCCUUAUCUUUAGUUGCCAGCAUUCAGUUGGGCACUCUAGAGAGACUGCCGUCGACAAGACAGAGGAAGGCGGGGAUGACGUCAAAUCAUCAUGCCCCUUAUGACCUGGGCUACACACGUGCUACAAUGGCUGGUACAACGAGAUGCUAGCUCGCGAGAGUACGCCAAUCUCUCAAAACCAGUCUCAGUUCGGAUUGCAGGCUGCAACUCGCCUGCAUGAAGUCGGAAUCGCUAGUAAUCGCGGAUCAGCAUGCCGCGGUGAAUACGUUCCCGGGUCUUGUACACACCGAGGUCGGUGGGGGAGGGGCAA
This 458-nucleotide ribosomal RNA is filed under the name uncultured bacterium. Its description in RNAcentral is "bacterial SSU rRNA". It matches the Rfam family "Bacterial small subunit ribosomal RNA", at positions 954 to 1416 of the family's 1533-position model. The record is from RNAcentral.